UACGAAGGUGGCAAGCGUUGUUCGGAUUUACUGGGCGUACAGGGAGCGUAGGCGGUUGGAUAAGUCCUCCGUGAAAUCUCCAGGCUUAACCUGGAAAGUGCAGAGGGGACUGUUCAGCUAGAGGAUGGGAGAGGAGCGCGGAAUUCCCGGUGUAGCGGUGAAAUGCGCAGAGAUCGGGAGGAAGGCCGGUGGCGAAGGCGGCGCUCUGGAACAUUUCUGACGCUGAGGCUCGAAAGCGUGGGGAGCAAACAGG
Molecule: ribosomal RNA, 253 nt
Filed under: uncultured bacterium
Lineage: Bacteria
Description: partial 16S ribosomal RNA
Rfam family: Bacterial small subunit ribosomal RNA
Source: RNAcentral